UGAUCAGCCAUGCCGCGUGUGUGAAGAAGGCCUUUUGGUUGUAAAGCACUUUAAGCAGUGAAGAAGACUCUUCGGUUAAUACCCGGGGACGAUGACAUUAGCUGCAGAAUAAGCACCGGCUAACUCUGUGCCAGCAGCCGCGGUAAU
Molecule: ribosomal RNA, 147 nt
Filed under: uncultured bacterium
Lineage: Bacteria
Description: partial 16S ribosomal RNA
Rfam family: Bacterial small subunit ribosomal RNA
Source: RNAcentral